GACGAACGCUGGCGGCGUGCUUAACACAUGCAAGUCGAACGGAAAGACCCUGCUUUUGUGCGGUUCUCGAGUGCCGAACGGGUGUGUGUCACGUGAGUAUCCUGCCCUUGACUUUGGGAUAACUUCACGUAACUGGGGCUAAUACCGGAUAGGAUCUCCUGCUGCAUGGUGGGCGUUGGAAAGUUUCGGCUUUUGGGGAUGGACUCGCGGCUUAUCAGCUUGUUUGUGUGGUAGUGGCUUACCAAGGGUUUGACGGGUAGCCUGCCUGAGAGGGUGAACGGCGACAAUGGGACUGAGGGAGGGAGCAGAAUCGUACGGGAGGCAGUAGGGGGGAGUAUGGCAGAACGAGCGGAAGCGUGAUGCAGAAACGCCGCGUGCGGGAUGACGGCUUAUGGGGUGUAAACAGCUGUCGCAUGUGACGAAGCGUGAGUGACGGUAAUGGAUAAAGAAGCACCGGCUAACUACGUG
Molecule: ribosomal RNA, 468 nt
Filed under: uncultured bacterium
Lineage: Bacteria
Description: partial 16S ribosomal RNA
Rfam family: Bacterial small subunit ribosomal RNA
Source: RNAcentral